Molecule: ribosomal RNA, 155 nt
Filed under: Erysiphe actinidiae
Lineage: Eukaryota; Fungi; Ascomycota; Leotiomycetes; Helotiales; Erysiphaceae
Description: 5.8S ribosomal RNA
Rfam family: 5.8S ribosomal RNA
About the family: 5.8S ribosomal RNA (5.8S rRNA) is a component of the large subunit of the eukaryotic ribosome. It is transcribed by RNA polymerase I as part of the 45S precursor that also contains 18S and 28S rRNA. Functionally, it is thought that 5.8S rRNA may be involved in ribosome translocation.
Source: RNAcentral
AAACUUUCAACAACGGAUCUCUUGGCUCUGGCAUCGAUGAAGAACGCAGCGAAAUGCGAUAAGUAAUGUGAAUUGGCAGAAUUUAGUGAAUCAUCGAAUCUUUGAACGCACAUUGCGCCCCUUGGUAUUCCGAGGGGCAUGCCUGUUCGAGCGUC